This 560-nucleotide ribosomal RNA is filed under the name Pseudomonas putida. RNAcentral describes it as "bacterial SSU rRNA". It matches the Rfam family "Bacterial small subunit ribosomal RNA", at positions 137 to 692 of the family's 1533-position model. The record is from RNAcentral. Lineage: Bacteria; Pseudomonadati; Pseudomonadota; Gammaproteobacteria; Pseudomonadales; Pseudomonadaceae. RNAcentral also lists the same sequence under 2 other names.
UGGGGGACAACGUUUCGAAAGGAACGCUAAUACCGCAUACGUCCUACGGGAGAAAGCAGGGGACCUUCGGGCCUUGCGCUAUCAGAUGAGCCUAGGUCGGAUUAGCUAGUUGGUGAGGUAAUGGCUCACCAAGGCGACGAUCCGUAACUGGUCUGAGAGGAUGAUCAGUCACACUGGAACUGAGACACGGUCCAGACUCCUACGGGAGGCAGCAGUGGGGAAUAUUGGACAAUGGGCGAAAGCCUGAUCCAGCCAUGCCGCGUGUGUGAAGAAGGUCUUCGGAUUGUAAAGCACUUUAAGUUGGGAGGAAGGGCAUUAACCUAAUACGUUAGUGUUUUGACGUUACCGACAGAAUAAGCACCGGCUAACUCUGUGCCAGCAGCCGCGGUAAUACAGAGGGUGCAAGCGUUAAUCGGAAUUACUGGGCGUAAAGCGCGCGUAGGUGGUUUGUUAAGUUGGAUGUGAAAGCCCCGGGCUCAACCUGGGAACUGCAUUCAAAACUGACAAGCUAGAGUAUGGUAGAGGGUGGUGGAAUUUCCUGUGUAGCGGUGAAAUGCGUA